CAACUGCUGGAGGACAAAAGAAAGAUGGAGAUGCAGAGAAAUGAGGAGGGAAUGAGCAAGUCAAGGGUGGAGCAAGAGUGGAAGAUCCUUGAGAUGGAGAAAAAGAGAAUGGAGGAGAAAAUGGAGAUGGAGAGGAAAGAGGUGGAGGCUCAGAGACUGCACCUGCAAGAGAAGGAGAGAAAGCUCAAGGAGGACGUGACAAUGAAGGAAGAGAAGGACGCCUCAAAAAUGAAAGAGGUUGAGGAAGGAUGGAAAAAUAUUGAGGCAGAGAGGAAAACUGAAAAUGAGAGGAUGACAUCAAGAAAGAAGGAGGUCGAGGAUGAGUGGAAAAAGAUCGAAACUGAGAGGAGGACAAUGGAGGAGAGGAUAGAGACUGAAGUCAAUAAAAUGGAGAUGCAGAGAAAUGAGGAGGGAAUGAGCAAGUCAAGGGUGGAGCAAGAGUGGAAGAUCCUUGAGAUGGAGAAAAAGAGAAUGGAGGAGAAAAUGGAGAUGGAGAGGAAAGAGGUGG
This is a long non-coding RNA of Clupea harengus (Atlantic herring), 508 nucleotides long. Lineage: Eukaryota; Metazoa; Chordata; Actinopteri; Clupeiformes; Clupeidae. The record is from Ensembl.